This 292-nucleotide long non-coding RNA is filed under the name Gossypium barbadense (sea-island cotton). RNAcentral's name for it is "long non-coding RNA (GBAR_LNC014780)". Lineage: Eukaryota; Viridiplantae; Streptophyta; Magnoliopsida; Malvales; Malvaceae. The record is from RNAcentral.
GAACAUCCAAUUCCAUCUCUUUUACCCCCUCUUUUAUUUCUAGAUGAAAGUAAAGCAUUAAAAUCACUGAUAGCAGCCCAAUGCACUCCUCUAGGAUGUAUAACCAUACUAAGACCCUCCCAAAUUUUCCUCAUUUUUUGUUUGUCAGGACUCCCAUAAACAAAAACAAUACUAAUAGCUUAGGAUUGAUCUCUCUUUAAAAUCUGAACAACAAUAAAUUAGGGGUGAUUACGAAUUACCUCAACUGAAAUAUCAUCUUUCCAGCCAAGCUAGAUACCCCUCGAAUAACUAG